UCUUCGUUUUGAACUUUUGAGAACAUACGGAAAACAAAUCACUUGAUUUAGAUUUGUAACUUUGGGGUUUUGAUCCAAUCAAAACUUCAACCAGGUUAUGUUAUCGUUCUUUUUAAUUCAAUUUCAGAAAAAAAUUUGUAUUGGAAGUCGUGGUGACGAGAUACUGAGGGAUGUGGUGGUACCCCCGUGAAGAAGAAGUCUCUAAUGGAGGUGGUGGUGAUGAGAUACUGACUACCUGAGGUGAAAAAGAAGAGAACCAAAAGCAGGAGCAUGAAUUAACUAAUAAUUGUACAAUGGCGAGUCCAGUUCGUCGUAGUUUGAGAAUACAAGCUCAGUUAACAUGGAAGUCGACAACGAACGACAACAACAAAGAGAUAUCCGAUUGAACAACCACUGUAUUUCAGAAAAGGAAAAACGAGUGGCAAUGACUGAAGCUGAAAAGCAAGAGCUUCUCCAAAAACGACGCCACACUUAUCUUAUGCAGAAAACACGAGAUCGACUUGCAAACUAAGAUGGUCUUGAAGCAUCAACAAGUUCUGGUGAGUGUGGCAUGAGAUGUAUAAUUGUUCUUUGCUGUAGUGCAUUGAACUUAUCUUACAUAAUGUCAGUGGUAUAAUUCUGAAUGGAUAUGAACAAGUUUCCAAUACUACUCAUCUUAUCAAACUCAUUAACAGAAAUAUGAUGUUGUUGGCAACUCUGCUCAAGCAUGAUCAAUGGCCAUAUUCAUAUUAUAGCAAAAGCAAACAUCCGAGAAUUUAUUUUUGACCUGCUAUGAAGAACUAAGCAUGGUUAUACAAGCACUGAGAUAAACUAAGCACAUUCUAAAAAUAUGUAAAGGUUAAUGGGUAGCAGGUAGCUAGGUCAGAAUCAGGAACAUGUGUAAGAAGGAUAUGUGAUGCAUAUGCUUUCCCCACUGCCCUGAAACCAAGCGCUUAAGAAACGCAAAGAUGAACCAUGAGAGGAUUCGACCAUGGAGAGAACAAUAUAUGCGAUUUUAUUGAGAUUAACUUUUACUAAAAGCUUUGAAGUUGUUGUCAAAGUAUAUCUUAUUCUUCUUGAUUUUUGCUUUAAGGCUCUUCUUUUUGAGUUUUUUUCCAAGGCUUUGUGUUGCAAAGAUUAAGCUAUCCAAAUGUAUCAUCCAGAAAAAUACAUAUAAUUUUUUUGUAAGUGAGUAUAUUUUUAUUGAAAAUUUAUUGAACAGAAUGGCGGG
This is a long non-coding RNA of Papaver somniferum (opium poppy), 1210 nucleotides long. RefSeq lists it as uncharacterized. The record is from RefSeq and is a predicted model, not a curated record. The transcript has 3 exons. Lineage: Eukaryota; Viridiplantae; Streptophyta; Magnoliopsida; Ranunculales; Papaveraceae.